RNAcentral lists this transfer RNA (67 nucleotides) under Nothoprocta perdicaria. RNAcentral describes it as "tRNA-Glu". It matches the Rfam family "tRNA". Rfam says of the family: Transfer RNA (tRNA) molecules are approximately 80 nucleotides in length. Their secondary structure includes four short double-helical elements and three loops (D, anti-codon, and T loops). Lineage: Eukaryota; Metazoa; Chordata; Aves; Tinamiformes; Tinamidae. The record is from RNAcentral.
AUUUCUGUAGUUGAGAACAACGAUGGUUUUUCAGACCAUAGGCCUUGGGUCAAACCGAGCAGAAAUU